This 450-nucleotide ribosomal RNA is filed under the name uncultured bacterium. RNAcentral's name for it is "SSU rRNA". It matches the Rfam family "Bacterial small subunit ribosomal RNA", at positions 26 to 518 of the family's 1533-position model. The record is from RNAcentral.
AGGAUGAACGCUGGCGGCGUGCCUAAAACAUGCAAGUCAUACGGGCUACCUUCGGGUAGCCAGUGGCAAACGGGUGAGUAACACGUGGGAACGCGCCUUGGGGUGGGGAAUAACGCUGAGAAAUCAGUGCUAAUACCGCAUACGGUCUAACGACUAAAGCAGCAAUGCGCCCCGAGAGCGGCCCGCGACCGAUUAGCUAGUUGGUGGGGUAAUGGCCUACCAAGGCGGUGAUCGGUAGCUGGUCUGAGAGGAUGGUCAGCCACACUGGGACUGCGAACGGCCCAGACUCCUACGGGAGGCAGCAGUUAGGAAUUUUCGGCAAUGGACGAAAGUCUGACCGAGCGACGCCGCGUGGAGGAUGACGCCGUUUCGGGGUGUAAACUCCUUUCUGCGGAAGAUAAUGACGGUACCGCAGGAAUAAGCACCGGCUAACUACGUGCCAGCAGCCGC